AGUGAACGCUGGCGGUAGGCCUAACACAUGCAAGUCGAACGGAAGCACAGGAAGAGCGUGCUCUUAAGGGUGGCGAGGGGCGGGCGGGUGAGGAAUAGAUAGGAAUCUAAUAAUACGGGGGGGAUAACGGGGGAAAGCUGACGAUAAUAGCGAAUACGACGAACGGGAGGAAGCAGGGGAUAUACGGAGCUUGGGCGAUAGAAAGAGACGGCGUCGCAUUACCUAGUUGGUGGGGUAACGGCUCACCAAGGCGACGAUCCGUAGCCGACCUGAGAGGAUGAUCGGCCACACUGGAACUGAGCCACGGUCCAGACUCCUACGGGAGGCAGCAGUAGGGAAUCUUCCGCAAUGGGCGAAAGCCUGACGGAGCAACGCCGCGUGAGUGAUGAAGGUCUUCGGAUCGUAAAACUCUGUUAUUAGGGAAGAACAAAUGUGUAAGUAACUAUGCACGUCUUGACGGUACCUAAUCAGAAAGCCACGGCUAACUACGUG
RNAcentral lists this ribosomal RNA (492 nucleotides) under uncultured bacterium. RNAcentral describes it as "partial 16S ribosomal RNA". It matches the Rfam family "Bacterial small subunit ribosomal RNA", at positions 29 to 507 of the family's 1533-position model. The record is from RNAcentral.